UUAUUGUUUAUAGUUUCUACGUUCAUGACAUCUAGUUUGUAGGUCCGAAGACCACGGUGCACAGGUGUGAGAUAAGUGCUAGGCACAUCUAUAAUGAUCCUUCCGCAGGUUCACCUACGGAAA
This 123-nucleotide unclassified non-coding RNA is filed under the name uncultured fungus. RNAcentral describes it as "sequence contains ITS1". The record is from RNAcentral. Lineage: Eukaryota; Fungi.